CAGCCGUAAACUAUGCGCGUUAGGUGUAUCGGUGACCACGAGUCACCGAGGUGCCGAAGGGAAACCGUGAAACGUGCCGCCUGGGAAGUACGGCCGCAAGGCUGAAACUUAAAGGAAUUGGCGGGGGAGCACAACAACGGGUGGAGCCUGCGGUUUAAUUGGACUCAACGCCGGGAAGCUCACCGGAUAGGACAGCAGAAUGAUUGCCGGGCUGAAGACCCUGCAUGACUAGCUGAGAGGUGGUGCAUGGCGUCAGUGACU
Molecule: ribosomal RNA, 261 nt
Filed under: uncultured archaeon
Lineage: Archaea
Description: partial 16S ribosomal RNA
Rfam family: Archaeal small subunit ribosomal RNA
Source: RNAcentral